This is a non-coding RNA of Peromyscus maniculatus bairdii (prairie deer mouse), 1117 nucleotides long. Lineage: Eukaryota; Metazoa; Chordata; Mammalia; Rodentia; Cricetidae. The record is from RefSeq and is a predicted model, not a curated record.
UGCCUGGAUGAAUGAGCCUCUGUAUUGCCUGGGGUGUGGGAGGAAAAAUAAGGGCACACCCACAGCUGGCUGGCCUGCUCCUGGCAGCUCCAGCUGUGACCUUCACCUUGACUGAGGCAUGGCAACUUUACCCAGCUGUCCGUUUGCUGUGCCCAUCUGAAUCCAGGUGGAGCACGUGGCCAGCAGCCAGGGAAUGUACAGCCAGGGCAAAGAAAGUGAACAGCACCCCUGAACCUCCACGUGGGAAAGGCUCCCACUCUGGCCCCAGCCCCGCAGGCCAGAUGCUGUCCCUUGCCUAGCGAGGCCCUAAGAAAGGGUCUCCUCUAUGGGGGCCCUACCAACCUCAGAAGGCAAGUGUGCCAGUUUGCCAUAAAACAAGACAUCCUUGGGGUUCAGCUUGGAGGGGUGCCAGGGGCAGCAGUGAGGCUAGGUUUGCCCUCGAAACAGUGGCUAAUCUGGGAAGAAAGGCUACAAGAGAACCAGAGCCCAGAGAAGCCUGUGUCGGGCUGUGAGCGUCUCCACUUGUCCCUUCCCAGGUAGCGGAACAACCCAGGCCAGCUCCCAGGUUGCCUGCAUCUCUCCAACUCAGAGGACAUUCUUGGCACUCAGGUUUCUCCACCAUCGAAGUAAGCCAGAUCAAGUCGAAUUGAAAAGGCGUAACGACAGGUUUAUUUGAGCAAAGCAACUCCCCGGCAAGUUCUCCAGUACCAGACACAGACGCUGGAGAAGCCACACCCCUCAAACUAAAGCAGGGAGACUUUAUAGGUUGUAGGUGAGGGAUGAUGACCUGUUCUUCACAAGCUGGGUUUGUGCCCAAGGAUGGUCAAAAGCUGAGCACUUUAGGUGGGGACUUGGGCAACUGGCAACUUCAGGGGAGGAGGAAGCUGUGAUAACCACCAAGAAUGAGAAACUGGGCUUUUUGGCACCUUUCCUUUGUUUGGAGGCUCUCUGAGCAGGUGGGGUUUGGAGAGAGACAGGAAUGGGGCUUUCCGGAUCAUGCAGGGGUGAGCUGGAGGUCCCAACUGAACACACAUAUCUGCAAAUUAACACACUAAAACCAUUGAAUUAUUAGUUGGAAUGGUGUGUGACAUAGUAAUAAAGCUGUUUAAAAUGUUAA